RNAcentral lists this ribosomal RNA (798 nucleotides) under Klebsiella pneumoniae. RNAcentral describes it as "partial 23S ribosomal RNA". It matches the Rfam family "Bacterial large subunit ribosomal RNA", at positions 437 to 1238 of the family's 2925-position model. Lineage: Bacteria; Pseudomonadati; Pseudomonadota; Gammaproteobacteria; Enterobacterales; Enterobacteriaceae. The record is from RNAcentral.
UCUGAAUAUGGGGGGACCAUCCUCCAAGGCUAAAUACUCCUGACUGACCGAUAGUGAACCAGUACCGUGAGGGAAAGGCGAAAAGAACCCCGGCGAGGGGAGUGAAAAAGAACCUGAAACCGUGUACGUACAAGCAGUGGGAGCACCUUCGGGUGUGACUGCGUACCUUUUGUAUAAUGGGUCAGCGACUUAUAUUCUGUAGCAAGGUUAACCGUAUAGGGGAGCCGCAGGGAAACCGAGUCUUAACUGGGCGUUAAGUUGCAGGGUAUAGACCCGAAACCCGGUGAUCUAGCCAUGGGCAGGUUGAAGGUUGGGUAACACUAACUGGAGGACCGAACCGACUAAUGUUGAAAAAUUAGCGGAUGACUUGUGGCUGGGGGUGAAAGGCCAAUCAAACCGGGAGAUAGCUGGUUCUCCCCGAAAGCUAUUUAGGUAGCGCCUCGUGAAUUCAUCUUCGGGGGUAGAGCACUGUUUCGGCUAGGGGGUCAUCCCGACUUACCAACCCGAUGCAAACUACGAAUACCGAAGAAUGUUAUCACGGGAGACACACGGCGGGUGCUAACGUCCGUCGUGAAGAGGGAAACAACCCAGACCGCCAGCUAAGGUCCCAAAGUCAUGGUUAAGUGGGAAACGAUGUGGGAAGGCACAGACAGCCAGGAUGUUGGCUUAGAAGCAGCCAUCAUUUAAAGAAAGCGUAAUAGCUCACUGGUCGAGUCGGCCUGCGCGGAAGAUGUAACGGGGCUAAACCAUGCACCGAAGCUGCGGCAGCGACACUAUGUGUUGUUGGGUAGGGGAGCG